UACGAAGGGUGCAACCGUUGCUCGGAAUUAUUGGGCGUAAAGCGCACGUAGGCGGCUUUUCAAGUCGGAUGUGAAAUCCCUCGGCUUAACCAAGGAAGUGCAUCCGAAACUGGAAGGCUUGAGUACUUAAGAGGAUCGCGGAAUUCCCGGUGUAGAGGUGAAAUUCGUAGAUAUCGGGAGGAACACCAGUGGCGAAGGCGGCGAUCUGGGAAGAUACUGACGCUGAGGUGCGAAAGCGUGGGGAGCAAACAGG
RNAcentral lists this ribosomal RNA (253 nucleotides) under uncultured bacterium. RNAcentral's name for it is "partial 16S ribosomal RNA". It matches the Rfam family "Bacterial small subunit ribosomal RNA", at positions 524 to 776 of the family's 1533-position model. The record is from RNAcentral.